RNAcentral lists this ribosomal RNA (395 nucleotides) under uncultured bacterium. Its description in RNAcentral is "bacterial SSU rRNA". It matches the Rfam family "Bacterial small subunit ribosomal RNA", at positions 505 to 898 of the family's 1533-position model. The record is from RNAcentral.
GUGUCAGCAGCCGCGGUAAUACGUAGGGUGCAAGCGUUGUCCGGAAUCAUUGGGCGUAAAGCGCGCGUAGGCGGCCCGAUAAGUCCGCUGUAAAAGUCAACGGCUCAACUGUUGAAAGCCGGUGGAUACUGUCGGGCUAGAGUACGGAAGAGGCAAGUGGAAUUCCUGGUGUAGCGGUGGAAUGCGCAGAUAUCAGGAGGAACACCUAUAGCGAAGGCAGCUUGCUGGGACGUUACUGACGCUAAGGCGCGAAAGCGUGGGGAGCGAACAGGAUUAGAUACCCUGGUAGUCCACGCCGUAAACGAUGAGAACUAGGUGUGGGAGGUGUCGACUCCUCCCGUGCCGUCGCUAACGCAUUAAGUUCUCCGCCUGGGGAGUACGGCCGCAAGGCUAAA